AGUGAACGCUGGCGGUAGGCCUAACACAUGCAAGUCGAACGGCAGCACAGUAAGAGCUUGCUCUUACGGGUGGCGAGUGGCGGACGGGUGAGGAAUACAUCGGAAUCUACUUUUUCGUGGGGGAUAACGUAGGGAAACUUACGCUAAUACCGCAUACGACCUACGGGUGAAAGCAGGGGAUCUUCGGACCUUGCGCGAUUGAAUGAGCCGAUGUCGGAUUAGCUAGUUGGCGGGGUAAAGGCCCACCAAGGCGACGAUCCGUAGCUGGUCUGAGAGGAUGAUCGGCCACACUGGAACUGAGACACGGUCCAGACUCCUACGGGAGGCAGCAGUGGGGAAUAUUGGACAAUGGGCGCAAUCCUGAUCCAGCCAUACCGCGUGGGUGAAGAAGGCCUUCGGGUUGUAAAGCCCUUUUGUUGGGAAAGAAAAGCAGCAGGUUAAUACCCCGCUGUUCUGACGGUACCCAAAGAAUAAGCACCGGCUAACUUCGUG
RNAcentral lists this ribosomal RNA (492 nucleotides) under uncultured bacterium. RNAcentral's name for it is "partial 16S ribosomal RNA". It matches the Rfam family "Bacterial small subunit ribosomal RNA", at positions 29 to 507 of the family's 1533-position model. The record is from RNAcentral.